CACACAAAAGGACCCACACAGAGCACACAUAUACAAUACACCCCCUCUUCAUUAAUAGAAAAAGAGGAUACACGUAAUUCCCACUUACCUCAUCAUAUAUAAUACACAACACAUAGAUUCCCUUCACAAGCAGUCACCCUCAUACACAUCACACACACAUUCCUCCAUUUUCAUACUCAUAUUAUACACGCACUCACAUUUUCAUUCACACACCUUACCAAAAAACACACACACACUCUUCAUAGUGACACCAUUGAACAAACAUAUAAGAUUAUACAUUUUUUAUUUCAAUAAUUUUCCAUUUCUAUUGAUUCCCAUGUACACACAUAUACACUAAUACACAUACUUGAAAUCAGAAAAGGGAGGAGAAAACAAGUAGAAUAGUGAGCAAAUUCGAGAAGAGAGUGACAGGAUGUAGAGAGAGAGAGCCAAACCAGUGAGAAAAAAGUUGGGAAACUAGUGAGUAAAUGGAGAGAAACGUGAGAGACUCUAUUUUUCGUGAAUUCUCCUUAGGAAACGUAGUUUCUGAUCAUUUUCUCUCAGUUUCAUCUAUGCCGAGCUCAAUGAAGCUCCAACAAAAGUAGACCACCACGCCCUCGCCCAAACCCACCUCGCCGAAACAACCACAUGCGCACAGAUGGAAAACAUAGAGGAUGAGGAAAGGAAAAGACAAAAUUGGUCGUUCUUGUGUUUUGAUGUCGAGUUUGAAGAGGUUUUUCAGUUGAGUUCAUUCAUCUAGGUUCUCAAUUUUGGUUAACGGCUUGUCGUCAAUUUUAUUUUAUCAACAGUGGAUUUGGUUAAUUGCUUGAAUUCCAGAACUACAUUCCAUUCCAUUUGGGAUUAAAAUAAAAUUAAGGACCAUUUCUUACCUUAAUUCUCAAUUAAUCUUAAUUAUUUAAUACUUUGUGUGGUGAUUUGAUGUGUGAAUUUUAUUCUCAUUGAUUUUGAUAUAUUUGGAUCAUCGUAAGUGAUUGUUGAUAUUGAUCGAUUAAUUGUGUAAAUUGGAUAAUCAAAUAAUUUUGACUCAAUUUGGGGGAUAAAUCGUAAUUUGGGAUGGUAUAAAAAGUUUGCUAAUUCGUAAUUUUAUUUAGUUUAUUUAAUUUGUCAUCUUGAUUGAUUUUGACAAAUUCGAUAGUAUCUUGUUUUAGGCCAAGAAUUGAUAGGCAAGUUUUAGGUUUAGGGUAGGAAAAACAUAGGGAUUGUAACUGUUGAAUGUUUGAAUGUGUUGAAUGGCUUUUGCUUCAUAUUUUCUGAAUUUCUUGUAUUCAUUUGGCCGUGGAAUGCCCCGAGAAAAUUGUACUUAUUUAUCGGGGAAUGACCCAAAGUAUCAUGUAUGCAAAAGAGGUUCGUGAUCAAGAACUGAGGCAUCGAGUAGAGCAUAGUGUAGGAUUAGUAUAGGUUAGUGUAGAUUUAUUUCAGUAUAUUUUAUUUUGGACUGUAAUAAUUGGACUGGACACUAUUUUUCGAACUUGUUUUAUUUUGGUGUGAUUAUUUAUUUUGUAUGUUUAUUUGGUUUAUGCGUCUGAUAGUGUCUACUAGCCGAUAUACUCCAUGAAGUGAUUGUGGUAGAACCACAGGAUCGAGGUGUGCCUAACACCUUCCCAUCGGUUAAUAGAAUUCCUUAGCUAGAGUCUCUGUUUGCGGAUCAAUUUUAAAGAGUCAAAACUAUUUUGAAAAAAAAAAUUCAAAGGUGACUUGGAACACUCGAUUUAUGCCAAGUGGCGACUUUGAGUUUUGAAUGUUAAAAGUCCUUUUUGAAAUAAAUUGUUUUCUUUUGUCACUUAAUAAUAAAAAUCCAUUCAAACGUAAAUAUAAUCUUUUUUGGGUAAAAAAAGGGUGUGACACUAAAUACAUUAGUUAAUGAGCCUUGCUUAGUAAUAU
Molecule: long non-coding RNA, 1881 nt
Filed under: Capsicum annuum
Lineage: Eukaryota; Viridiplantae; Streptophyta; Magnoliopsida; Solanales; Solanaceae
Description: long non-coding RNA (CANN_LNC017956)
Source: RNAcentral